CCUACGGGAGACAGCAGUGGGGAAUAUUGGGCAAUGGAGGAAACUCUGACCCAGCGACGCCGCGUGCGGGAUGAAGGCCUUCGGGUUGUAAACCGCUUUCAGUAGGGAAGAAGCGAAAGUGACGGUACCUACAGAAGAAGCACCGGCUAACUAUGUGCCAGCAGCCGCGGUAAUACAUAGGGUGCAAGCGUUGUCCGGAAUUAUUGGGCGUAAAGAGCUCGUAGGUGGUUCGUCACGUCGGAUGUGAAAAUCUGGGGCUCAACCCCAGACCUGCAUUCGAUACGGGCGAUCUAGAGUGUGGUAGGGGAGACUGGAAUUCCUGGUGUAGCGGUGGAAUGCGCAGAUAUCAGGAGGAACACCAAUGGCGAAGGCAGGUCUCUGGGCCAUUACUGACACUGAGGAGCGAAAGCGUGGGGAGCGAACAGGAUUAGAUACCCUGGUAGUCCACGCCGUAAACGGUGGGCACUAGUUGUGGGAACCUUCCACGGUUUCUGCGACGCAGCUAACGCAUUAAGUGCCCCGCCUGGGGAGUACGAUCGCAAGAUUAAAACUCAAAGGAAUUGACGG
This 567-nucleotide ribosomal RNA is filed under the name uncultured bacterium. RNAcentral's name for it is "bacterial SSU rRNA". It matches the Rfam family "Bacterial small subunit ribosomal RNA", at positions 338 to 916 of the family's 1533-position model. The record is from RNAcentral.